This 84-nucleotide transfer RNA is filed under the name Cordylochernes scorpioides. RNAcentral's name for it is "tRNA-Ser". Lineage: Eukaryota; Metazoa; Arthropoda; Arachnida; Pseudoscorpiones; Chernetidae. The record is from RNAcentral.
AUCUGGUUGAAGGGUCGGUGGAAGGCUGGUUAAGCCGUUUGGUUGUCGACCACUACGACCCGGGUUCGAUCCCCGCAUUAGACA